This 490-nucleotide ribosomal RNA is filed under the name uncultured bacterium. RNAcentral describes it as "partial 16S ribosomal RNA". It matches the Rfam family "Bacterial small subunit ribosomal RNA", at positions 30 to 507 of the family's 1533-position model. The record is from RNAcentral.
AGUGAACGCUGGCGGCAGGCCUAAUACAUGCAGGUCGAACUGCAGCACAGCAGAGGGUGCGCUGUGGGUGGCGAGGGGCGGACGUGUGAGGAAUACAUGGGAAUCUGCGCAUUGGUGGGGGAUGACGUAUGGAAACGUACGCGAAUACCGCAUUCGCCCUCUGGGGGAAAGCCGGGCACCUUCAGACCUGGCGCGAUUGGGUGAGCCCAUGUUCGAUUAGCUAGUGGGGGGGGUAAAGGCCCACCAAGGCGACGAUCGAUGGCUGGUCUGAGAGGAUGAUCAGCCACACUGGGACUGAGACACGGCCACGACUCCUAAGGGAGGCACCAGUAGGGAAUAUUGGAGAAUGGGCGAAAGCCCGAUCCAGCCAUGCCGCGUGAGUGAAGAAGGCCCUCGGGUUGUAAAGCUCUUUCGUCCGGAAAGAAAAGCAUUCGGUUAACACCCGGGUGUUCUGACGGUACCGGCAGAAUAAGCACCGGCUAACUUCGUG